CCUUUAGACCAGGAAGUGUGGAGCUGUCAGACAAUCUCUCUCAGACAACCGUUGGUACAUCUGAAGUGUCUACUCUAACGAAAACUCAAAUCGAAGAAAAGCAGAGACUCACCGAAGUGGGAUUUUUUCCUUUUUGAGAAAGUGGUUCAACAGAGAGACGACGAUCAAGGACAGCUACGCGGAUUCCUAUAGGGGUGCACCGGGAUUCCCAGCUCACUCAUUGCAAGUGACUUGAAGCCGAAGCUACAUCUCUGUGUGAUUUAUUUCCCCCUUUCAGGUGUAUAACAUUUUGGAGGCUCUGUUAAGAUGAAUGCACCUAAGAUCGACUCCAUGAGAUAGGAAGACCCUCAACCGACAUUAAUCUUCAAAAUCAACUCAGGCAGACGACAGUGUGACAGACAGCUACGGUGGAGGUUCGACAGAAACUGGAAAAGGAGUGCGUGCAAACUGAGGUCAGAGUGAACAACAGGGAGCAGCAAGGUCCAUUCAGUAAAAGAGAACCUUCAUUAAAAUUGUUGUCAACUUUUUUGCUAGUAAAAUGGAAUCAGCAUUAGAGGAUAUGCAAAUAGAAGGGUCCCCUGUAACUCAGUUGAUAGAGCAUGGCGCUUGCAACGCCAGGGUUGUGGGUUCGUUUCCCACGGGGGGCCAGUAUGAAAAAUG
This is a long non-coding RNA of Coregonus clupeaformis (lake whitefish), 660 nucleotides long. RefSeq lists it as uncharacterized. The record is from RefSeq and is a predicted model, not a curated record. The transcript is spliced from 3 exons. Lineage: Eukaryota; Metazoa; Chordata; Actinopteri; Salmoniformes; Salmonidae.